RNAcentral lists this non-coding RNA (131 nucleotides) under Xenopus laevis (African clawed frog). Lineage: Eukaryota; Metazoa; Chordata; Amphibia; Anura; Pipidae. The record is from Rfam by way of RNAcentral.
AUUACAGUUGGACAUUACUUUCAAAAAGCCCCCCAAAUUCAAUGAAGCACGGGUAAACAGCAGCAGUAACUAUGAAUCUCCUAAGGUAGCCAAAAGCCUUGUCAUGUAAUUAGUGACAUGCAUGAAUGGAU